UGCACCUCCCAACCGGCCUCCCUCCUCGUCCUCUUCUUCCUCGGCCUCAUCUCUUUAUGCCUCUCUUUCCCACACUGCCUCCAUGAAGGGAAAGUAAGCCAGCGUCUUCCUCAUUCUCUCCGGCCACUCUCUUCCCCCAUCUCCUUCGCGCCGCCGGCGCGCGUGAAACAAACAAAUCGGUGCUUUCCCUCCUGGUCGAUCGUCGUCAACCAUGCUUUUUUGUGCGUCAAUUCUUGGGUAAAUCCUGCGAACCUGUGAUGAGCGGGCACUCCAGGUGAUGAAUUAGAGGGCACUCCAGGUGAUGAAUUAGAUGAUUCUUGGUUAUCUUUGCCCGGUACUACUGUACAAUCUUCCAGUAGAUUAACGUUCGUUACUACAUGAUGUCUAUAUAUUUCUGGCUUCUGGGGACCAAGGCAGGGGAUGUGGUGGUCAAGACUUCAUUAAGAGUAUACAGGCAAGUACAUUACAGGGUAUUCCAUAUAGCAUGCGGAUUCUGGCUAUCAUUUGAGGAUUUGAAUGAAAGCUUCCUCACGCUGCCACAGUUUUUUGCAGAACAAUUAAUGCAUGAACCGAGAAAUUAUUUGGAGUAGGUAGAAUGGUCUAUAAAAAGGAAUUAGUCAGAGGAGCAGCUAGCAAAACGUCGUUGUGAUUCGUACGAAACUAGUAGUUGCAAGAGCAUUGCAGUUUGCACCUGUAAAAACAUCCCUCUGAAUUCUAAACAAGUUACAGAAUACGUAUCACACUGGCAUGUGGAUAUUAGUUGUAAUCGUUCUUGUAUUUCCUAUUACUUGUAGCCUACUAAUUCUUGGGAAAAAGAACGUGCACGUGAGAAUACUACCACACAUGUUUAGGGAACCCUCGUGAUGACGCGAAUCUUGACUUGUUCUAUGCAUCCACCAUCAUCACCAUCUACAACGGCGAGCAGGCUCCUUUUUGGGAAUCCCCUUGGAUCAAUGGUGUGCGGCCUAGGGAGAUCGCACCGUUGAUUUAUGAAGUUGCUGACGGAAAAAAUUGGAAGGUGGCUGCAGUCAUGAAAGAUGGAGCUUGGCUCUCCAAAAUCAAGCUAUUCACCAAAUCGUCUUCCUUUGGGUCAAUUUGCGUGGGGUCCAUCUCAAUAUUGGCAUGAACGACAGCAUCAUGUGAAAGCAUACGACUAGCAGACACUACUCGGCAACCUCUACUUACAAGGUGCAAUUUCUCGGCCUUACUAGCUCGAGUGCGGAGUUUGUGGUUUGGAAGGUUUGUGUUCCUAAUAGAAUUUGGAUCACCGAUAGGUUGACAAAGCAGGUGGCCAAAUUGUGGGAUGUGUCCUCUUUGCAAGAGGGAGAACGAACCCAUUAGUCAUCUUUUCUUCAAGUCUCACUACACCGUUAGGCUAUGGAGUGUGAUUAAAGAGUGGCUUCAUAUCGACACCAUUGAUACAUCCUCGUGGAAUGCGACGUGGCAUGUCUCGGAGACCCAUUGUACUAAUAGAAAGACCAUGGCUUUCCUCAUCAUGCUUUUUUGUUGGGUCA
Long non-coding RNA from Triticum dicoccoides, 1514 nucleotides. RefSeq lists it as uncharacterized. NCBI's taxonomy places the organism in Eukaryota, Viridiplantae, Streptophyta, Magnoliopsida, Poales, Poaceae. The transcript is spliced from 2 exons. The record is from RefSeq and is a predicted model, not a curated record.